GACAGCAGUAGCCGCGGGAAUACAGAGGGUGCGAGCGUUAAUCGGAUUUACUGGGCGUAAAGCGUGCGUAGGCGGCUUCUUAAGUCGGAUGUGAAAUCCCUGAGCUUAACUUAGGAAUUGCAUUCGAUACUGGGAAGCUAGAGUAUGGGAGAGGAUGGUAGAAUUCCAGGUGUAGCGGUGAAAUGCGUAGAGAUCUGGAGGAAUACCGAUGGCGAAGGCAGCCAUCUGGCCUAAUACUGACGCUGAGGUACGAAAGCAUGGGGAGCAAACAGGAUUAGAUACCCCUGUAGUCCCUGUCUCUUAUAU
Molecule: ribosomal RNA, 306 nt
Filed under: uncultured bacterium
Lineage: Bacteria
Description: partial 16S ribosomal RNA
Rfam family: Bacterial small subunit ribosomal RNA
Source: RNAcentral